AGGACGAACGCUGGCGGCGUGCUUAACACAUGCAGGUCGUGGGCAUCUCGCAAGAGGUGACCGGCGAACGGGUGCGUAACACGUGAGCGACCUACCGAUGCGCGGGGGAUAGCCGGCCCAACGGCCGGGUAAUACCGCAUACGCCAGCCGAGCCGCAUGGCUUGGUUGGGAAACCUCCGGGGCGGAUCGAGGGGCUCGCGGCCUAUCAGCUAGUUGGCGGGUAACGGCCCACCAAGGCGACGACGGGUAGCUGGUCUGAGAGGAUGGCCAGCCACAUUGGGACUGAGAAACGGCCCAGACUCCUACGGGAGGCAGCAGUGGGGAAUAUUGCGCAAUGGCCGCAAGGCUGACGCAGCGACGCCGCGUGUGGGAUGACGCCCUUCGGGGUGUAAACCACUGUUGCCCGGGACGAACGAGGGGAUUUAUCCCCUGUGACGGUACCGGGUGAGGAAGCACCGGCUAACUCCGUGCCAGCAGCCGCGGUAA
Molecule: ribosomal RNA, 486 nt
Filed under: uncultured bacterium
Lineage: Bacteria
Description: SSU rRNA
Rfam family: Bacterial small subunit ribosomal RNA
Source: RNAcentral